RNAcentral lists this long non-coding RNA (4355 nucleotides) under Triticum aestivum (bread wheat). RNAcentral's name for it is "long non-coding RNA (TAES_LNC025419)". The record is from RNAcentral. Lineage: Eukaryota; Viridiplantae; Streptophyta; Magnoliopsida; Poales; Poaceae.
UGAAUAAUUAGGUUGAUAUUGAGGGAUUAAUAAAGGAUCAGCGGGCCAAGAUGUUUUGAGAUCAAACGGUGAAGUAAUAUUGUGUACUUGUGCUAAGUACUUUUGGUUUUGCCCGCUGAAGGAUUCAUAUGGUUACAAGUUGUACCUCUGACAGUGCUAAAUCAUAUAUAUUUCUUUCAGGUACAUUACUCAUGCAUUUUUCCUCUAAUGGUCUGACACAAUUUUAUCCUCGUUCAAAUUAACUAGGUGCUAGGGACAGUCCUCCAGAGCAAAAGCAUUCAUUUUCAAGGACAUCAUAAGAUGCUAAAAAGUCCAAUUCAAGUAAUUUCUUCAUAAAACAGGUAAUUAUUGACUUCUAAAAACUGAUCUACACAGUUAAAGUUUCUGGUAUCACAGAGGUAACUUACCUGAUAGCCAGGAUAUAUAUUUGAAGGGUAAGUGUUUUUGGAUUGCUUGAGGUAGGGCUACAAGUAACAACUAGAGAAGAAGGGGGCCAAAAAUCCAAAAAGGCAUUAGGCUUGCAGCCACUCCGCCGACAUGACAGUCUUAGUACGCGGCACCGCGUAAACACCCAUUGUGGCGGCGACCACUGACACUGACAACAACGUGGCUUUUCAGCGAGCGGCGGCCCUGACGGUGGCAGCACCCAUCACAUAAGGCAACGCUCCGCACCAGAUCUCUGUUGUGCACACCCAUCCGACCACACCCGACGGUGUUCCCUGAGCCAUGGUGUGUGCCUUCUCCUCCCCUAGAUCAUCUCACCAAUUACUUGCACACCAUCGCCGCAUGAUCCACUAGAGGUACGCCUAGACCAUACUGAAAACGAACUUCCAUUUUCACAAUUAUUUCUUUCUCUCCCUUUUUGUGAGUCUCUGAUCCCUGUUCAUACUUUAUUACUACAGGAAUGUAUAGCAUAGAUUAUCUAUAAAAGAUACUGCUUACUUCUGAUGCUCCAUCAUCGUGUCAGGCUUCAUUUGAUCCUAAAGGACUCCUUUGGUUAGUAAUUCAUCUACUCUUCAUCAUUUUUAUAAAUUAACUUGACUUUAUUUAACUUGGUAAGUUUUGACUGUCUAUCCUUUGCUCAUUGGCUCUAUAUGGCGAUUGUCACAUGUUUGAUUUGACUGCAGAUUGGACAUGUAAUUAUACAUUUCGAGGUAUAACGCUUGUGUUUGUUUCUACAUUUGAACAUUUCUCUUGUGGCGUAGAAACCAUAUUCUAUUCCCCCCUGUUGGGCCAACUUGCUUGUAGAAUUACAAUGGGAGAAUUAUUGAUUUGUUAAUCCAUUCCUUCAACAUGUUAGAACUUGCAUUUUUCCUGCUUAAAGUAUUACGUUAAUACACUACAUAAUCACUGGUGCCUGCAGAGCUGACGUAAUAUAACAAAUUAGGCUGGGUCUGAAAUGUGCAGCCAUGUUGGCCUCGCCAAUGAGUGAAUGUUGGAAGAUGCAACAUUAGGAAAUGCCGAGUAUAUAUGGCAACAUCCAUGGUUCUGUAUCCUAUCUCAUAUAAGGCCUAAUUAAGUCAUUUAGCGCCGAUGUGAUUAGUGAUGUUCCACUGACCUUGAGGUGUGUUAUCACAUACCAAGCAAUUAAUCUACUACCUAAAGUCAUUUUCAUUGCCUCGAUAUCAUUCCCUAUGUCUUUCUUGAAUUCUUUGCUCAAGACAAUUUCCCUGAGAUUAGUUUCCUUUUUGUUCACUUCAGUUUUUAUUUGUUCUAUAGUUCACACCUGGUCCCUUUAGUGUAACUUAUCGAAUAACAAAGUUUUGUCUUUUAUUCACUGGAUGUGGUUCCUAUAGUCAGGGAAAAACAUCUACCUAUAUUGCUGACAUAGUUGCAAGAUUUAUACGUAUUGAGCAAGAACUCAUUAGAUCGAGAUAUGUCCAACAAGGAGAUCUCUCUUGCCUCUUAUGAAGUGUGGCAGAUUUAGAAAGAAAGUGUGGAGAUUUCUUUUAGGCCAAAGAGGGAUGGGUUUGGAAGAGUUAGUUUCUAAAGUUAUUUAGAAUGUUAACCUCCUGUUGGAGGCAUUUGGCACUUAGCCUUUGCUGCUGUACAGCCGAGCUAACUUAUUGACAUCCUCGAAAUUUCCUUACUUUUUAAAUCUUGUUAUGUUGCCUCUUGGGUAGGCUUCAACCUGGUUCCUGUAGAAAAAAAUAAGAUUGCAAAAGUAUAUUAUUAGCAUGUAUCAAUUGUAGUGCAUAACACAUCAAAUUGUACGCAAUGAUGUCCCUUUGUAUGUAAGAACAAGUGAACACAUAAUGUAUUUUUUGUGUCUAUACCUUCAAUGUGGGUAUCUGAAUCUAAACCCAAAAAUAUAUUAUUUUCCUUUUUUGUUUUAUUAUGUUUCAAAUACUUAGCGGGGCUGUUUGUUAAUUCAGGCGGUAUCGCUUCUAUUUUCUUUCUGUUUAUUUCCUUUAAUCAAAAUUUUUGAACUGGACAAGAGAGGGUUUUUUAAGAUCCUGGACAAGGGAGGUUGUCCCCUCCUAUUUUGAUCGCUGAAUAACUCAUGAAAUGGAUGAUAUAGCCAUCAAGAUUUUGUUAUUCUUACACUGAAUGCAUCUAAAGAAAAUAUUGUUACAAGUAAUGAAUGGAUUGUUGUACAUCAAGAUCUGUGUUUUUCUUCAACACUCUUUGAUCCAUUGUUUCUAAAGGCAAUGGUGAAAAAUGUAUUCUCUUCAUUAGUUUCGAGGAGGUGUGACUUUUUUCUCCUCACACAAAGCGAGGAAGUAAAUAACUCCAUUCUCUUAUUUCUAGGCAGGAUGUAUAAGGUUUGACACAUGCGUGAAAUAUAACUCAAGAGGGUUGCGUGUUGAAUGAGUGACAUUAUGAGUUUGAUAUUUUUUCUAAGGAUUUAAAUGCUUCUAGAUUUUUUGAAAUAUGAUUGCUUUGUAAGAGUGUUUAUUGCGCAACAGUGUUAUGUAUAUUGAUAACCAAGAAGAGUGAGUGAAGAGGAUGGAAUAAAUGGCCGCAACUACAUUACAUUUUUGCCAUAUUAGGUGUGCAUGGGCGAGUACUUAGAUGAUGCUAGACGAGUCCAAUCGCAGCAAUAAGAGCCAAAUGUGAGUUGAGAGGCAGGUUAAGUGGGUAUAAGAAGUGACACAAACCUUAUCAAAUAUUGUCUAAUCAAGGUAGGGGAAGGUACAUAAAUCAUGGCGAAGCGAUGGCGAGUAGGAUGAUGAUGGGGCCAAACAAUCAUUGUUGAUCUAAAGGCAGACCCGAAGGCGACAGUGGAGAGACCAUCAAUGUAACAGUAACUAUAGUAUGACUAACCAGAGUAGGGAAAGAUACAUACACAAGGACGAAGCAACGAUGCAACUGAAUCACAACUCCAAAUGCACGGCUACCUUUUUCCUACAGAUUUGGUCAAGGGAGUGACAAACCUUUUUGUAUACUGAAUCACAAUGACAAAUAUAUGCACUAGAAAAUUUGAGUGUGGGUCAUGUGGGUUUUAUUUAAAGUGCAGGUACAAUGCGAUAUUUUUCACAACAAUCAUAUGCUACCUCCAACAUACAUAGUGUAAAUUAUAACAACAUUAAAGUCAAUUUCUCUCUGAAAAAUUUAUUUUUGUUUCGUGGCAACGCACGGGCAUUCAACUAGUGUUACUAGUUGCUCUAUGUUUCAGAACAUAUGCAGCUGUUGUAUGUCGGGCAUGCGGCUGUUGUAUGUGAUUGUUUUAACAUCUUCUUGUUAAUAUUUGUACAGACUUUGCACGCUACAUUUUGAUGAGAAGAUAAACUUGCUAUUGUUAAGAUGAUAAAAAAUGGACAUCUUGAUGUCCAGGACAUGUUCUCUACUAUAGAAGAGAUUACUCAAGAGAUGUUACUGGUUGCUCUAUAUUUUAGAACAUAUAUCCGUCUGUUAUAUGCGAUUGUUGUAACAUCUUCCUUAAGUUAUGACUGCAACUGUUAUAUGUAACAUCUUCUGAUCUAUUGCAGGUUUCCCAAAGGUGCACAAGUUCACUAAGGUUUGGAAGAUCUUCAAGUUGCUGAAGAUUUGGAAGACCUAAAAUUAAGUUGGUGGAGUGAUAAUGACCUGUGUCUUGUUUGUUGAACGUAAAGACUUGCUCUGCUCAUUUUGGUGGUUGUUGAAUUAGCUUAUUUAGGUUGUGUGGCACACAUCUAGAAACAUAUGUACAUCCCUAGUGGCACUACUUUAUUUUGGGUGUGUGGCAAAUGUAUAUAUGUAAUCCUUUUGUGGUACUACCUCUUUAUAUAUGGUCGUUAAGUUUAAGGUUUUCGAUGAGGCCUAUAUGCUACUUUGAUUGAAGUGCAUGUAUAAAUUGUGUGCUAUGUCCUGAGUGCGUAUAUAUAUGGAUGGAUAUUACAUAAUAGGUUUGCCUAGAACAUUUUGCUAGUGAA